CUACGGGCGGCUGCAGUGGGGAAUAUUGCACAAUGGGCGCAAGCCUGAUGCAGCCAUGCCGCGUGUAUGAAGAAGGCCUUCGGGUUGUAAAGUACUUUUAGCGGGGAGGAAGGGAGUAAAGUUAAUACCUUUGCUCAUUGACGUUACCCGCAGAAGAAGCACCGGCUAACUCCGUGCCAGCAGCCGCGGUAAUACGGAGGGUGCAAGCGUUAAUCGGAAUUACUGGGCGUAAAGCGCACGCAGGCGGUUUGUUAAGUCAGAUGUGAAAUCCCCGGGCUCAACCUGGGAACUGCAUCUGAUACUGGCAAGCUUGAGUCUCGUAGAGGGGGGUAGAAUUCCAGGUGUAGCGGUGAAAUGCGUAGAGAUCUGGAGGAAUACCGGUGGCGAAGGCGGCCCCCUGGACGAAGACUGACGCUCAGGUGCGAAAGCGUGGGGAGCAAACAGGAUUAGAUACCCGAGUAGUC
Molecule: ribosomal RNA, 464 nt
Filed under: uncultured bacterium
Lineage: Bacteria
Description: partial 16S ribosomal RNA
Rfam family: Bacterial small subunit ribosomal RNA
Source: RNAcentral